RNAcentral lists this ribosomal RNA (1490 nucleotides) under Enterobacter sp. Its description in RNAcentral is "bacterial SSU rRNA". It matches the Rfam family "Bacterial small subunit ribosomal RNA". Lineage: Bacteria; Pseudomonadati; Pseudomonadota; Gammaproteobacteria; Enterobacterales; Enterobacteriaceae. The record is from RNAcentral.
UGGCUCAGAUUGAACGCUGGCGGCAGGCCUAACACAUGCAAGUCGAACGGUAACAGGAAGAAGCUUGCUUCUUUGCUGACGAGCGGCGGACGGGUGAGUAAUGUCUGGGAAACUGCCUGAUGGAGGGGGAUAACUACUGGAAACGGUAGCUAAUACCGCAUAACGUCGCAAGACCAAAGAGGGGGACCUUCGGGCCUCUUGCCAUCAGAUGUGCCCAGAUGGGAUUAGCUAGUAGGUGGGGUAACGGCUCACCUAGGCGACGAUCCCUAGCUGGUCUGAGAGGAUGACCAGCCACACUGGAACUGAGACACGGUCCAGACUCCUACGGGAGGCAGCAGUGGGGAAUAUUGCACAAUGGGCGCAAGCCUGAUGCAGCCAUGCCGCGUGUAUGAAGAAGGCCUUCGGGUUGUAAAGUACUUUCAGCGGGGAGGAAGGUGUUGAGGUUAAUAACCUCAGCAAUUGACGUUACCCGCAGAAGAAGCACCGGCUAACUCCGUGCCAGCAGCCGCGGUAAUACGGAGGGUGCAAGCGUUAAUCGGAAUUACUGGGCGUAAAGCGCACGCAGGCGGUCUGUCAAGUCGGAUGUGAAAUCCCCGGGCUCAACCUGGGAACUGCAUUCGAAACUGGCAGGCUAGAGUCUUGUAGAGGGGGGUAGAAUUCCAGGUGUAGCGGUGAAAUGCGUAGAGAUCUGGAGGAAUACCGGUGGCGAAGGCGGCCCCCUGGACAAAGACUGACGCUCAGGUGCGAAAGCGUGGGGAGCAAACAGGAUUAGAUACCCUGGUAGUCCACGCCGUAAACGAUGUCGACUUGGAGGUUGUGCCCUUGAGGCGUGGCUUCCGGAGCUAACGCGUUAAGUCGACCGCCUGGGGAGUACGGCCGCAAGGUUAAAACUCAAAUGAAUUGACGGGGGCCCGCACAAGCGGUGGAGCAUGUGGUUUAAUUCGAUGCAACGCGAAGAACCUUACCUACUCUUGACAUCCAGAGAACUUUCCAGAGAUGGAUUGGUGCCUUCGGGAACUCUGAGACAGGUGCUGCAUGGCUGUCGUCAGCUCGUGUUGUGAAAUGUUGGGUUAAGUCCCGCAACGAGCGCAACCCUUAUCCUUUGUUGCCAGCGGUUAGGCCGGGAACUCAAAGGAGACUGCCAGUGAUAAACUGGAGGAAGGUGGGGAUGACGUCAAGUCAUCAUGGCCCUUACGAGUAGGGCUACACACGUGCUACAAUGGCGCAUACAAAGAGAAGCGACCUCGCGAGAGCAAGCGGACCUCAUAAAGUGCGUCGUAGUCCGGAUUGGAGUCUGCAACUCGACUCCAUGAAGUCGGAAUCGCUAGUAAUCGUAGAUCAGAAUGCUACGGUGAAUACGUUCCCGGGCCUUGUACACACCGCCCGUCACACCAUGGGAGUGGGUUGCAAAAGAAGUAGGUAGCUUAACCUUCGGGAGGGCGCUUACCACUUUGUGAUUCAUGACUGGGGUGAAGUCGUAACAAGGUUCU